This 497-nucleotide ribosomal RNA is filed under the name uncultured bacterium. Its description in RNAcentral is "partial 16S ribosomal RNA". It matches the Rfam family "Bacterial small subunit ribosomal RNA", at positions 28 to 507 of the family's 1533-position model. The record is from RNAcentral.
GAUGAACGCUGGCGGCGUGCCUAAUACAUGCGAGUCGAGCGAACGGACGAGAAGCUUGCUUCUCUGAUGUUAGCGGCGGAUGGGUGAGUAACACGUGGAUAACCUACCUAUAAGACUGGGAUAACUUCGGGAAACCGGAGCUAAUACCGGAUAAUAUUUUGAACCGCAUGGUUCAAAAGUGAAAGACGGUCUUGCUGUCACUUAUAGAUGGAUCCGCGCUGCAUUAGCUAGUUGGUAAGGUAACGGCUUACCAAGGCAACGAUGCAUAGCCGACCUGAGAGGGUGAUCGGCCACACUGGAACUGAGACACGGUCCAGACUCCUACGGGAGGCAGCAGUAGGGAAUCUUCCGCAAUGGGCGAAAGCCUGACGGAGCAACGCCGCGUGAGUGAUGAAGGUCUUCGGAUCGUAAAACUCUGUUAUUAGGGAAGAACAUAUGUGUAAGUAACUGUGCACAUCUUGACGGUACCUAAUCAGAAAGCCACGGCUAACUACGUG